GAUGAACGCUGGCGGCGUGCUUAACACAUGCAAGUCGAACGAUGAAGCCCAGCUUGCUGGGUGGUUUAGUGACGAACGGGUGAGUAACACGUGAGUAACCUGCCCUUGACUCUGGGAUAAGCCUGGGAAACUGGGUCUAAUACUGGAUAUGACUUCUCAUCGCAUGGUGGGGGGUGGAAAGAUUUAUUGGUCUUGGAUGGACUCGCGGCCUAUCAGCUUGUUGGUGAGGUAAUGGCUCACCAAGGCGACGACGGGUAGCCGGCCUGAGAGGGUGACCGGCCACACUGGGACUGAGACACGGCCCAGACUCCUACGGGAGGCAGCAGUGGGGAAUAUUGCACAAUGGGCGCGAGCCUGAUGCAGCGACGCCGCGUGAGGGAUGACGGCCUUCGGGUUGUAAACCUCUGUCAGUAGGGAAGAAGCGAGAGUGACGGUACCUGCAGAAGAAGCGCCGGCUAACUACGUG
Molecule: ribosomal RNA, 466 nt
Filed under: uncultured bacterium
Lineage: Bacteria
Description: partial 16S ribosomal RNA
Rfam family: Bacterial small subunit ribosomal RNA
Source: RNAcentral